UUUGCAGCUUGUUUCUAUCUCUCUUACCCUGGCAGACUCGAAGGUGCUUUGUCAAGGCCGUGGUUUGGAAAGUGUUAAGCAAAUUUGGCCAAGGCCCAUAGAUGCUCCUGUAGCUCAAGGCAGGAAGAGCAACAACAUUUAAUGAGAUUUUCCCUCAGGAAUGGUGAGGAAGAGAGAACCUUUCUGGAGCUGAACACUGCCAUAGUCUGCAUUGCUACAAAACUAAACUGAAGUUCAAGGUAACAGAGCUGUGGAAUACCUGCCAGGAGAAGUUAUGGAUGCAAGAAGUUUAAUGAUGUCAGGAGAGGAUGGUGAGAAUUUAGAAGAGGUGUCCUGGAUGAAAAAGUUGCCUUCACUCUUUUAAUGGCUGCUCUGGUUCUUUUCCUUCUAAUUAUUUGCCAGCACCAGAAUGUGUUGCUCUUGAACAGUCAUCUCUACAGAUUCUUUGGAGACCCCAAAAC
This is a long non-coding RNA of Serinus canaria (Common canary), 461 nucleotides long. RefSeq lists it as uncharacterized. NCBI's taxonomy places the organism in Eukaryota, Metazoa, Chordata, Aves, Passeriformes, Fringillidae. The record is from RefSeq and is a predicted model, not a curated record. The transcript has 3 exons.